Molecule: ribosomal RNA, 577 nt
Filed under: uncultured Thermoplasmatales archaeon
Lineage: Archaea; Methanobacteriati; Thermoplasmatota; Thermoplasmata; Thermoplasmatales
Description: bacterial SSU rRNA
Rfam family: Archaeal small subunit ribosomal RNA
Source: RNAcentral
UCGCGAAAACUUGUCAAUGGGGGAAACCCCGAACAGGGAAGUCCAAGUGCAUGCGUUUUACGUAUGCUGUUCGGUUGCCUAAAAAGCAGCCGAAGUAAGGGCUGGGUAAGACAGGUGCCAGCCGCCGCGGUAAUACCUGCAGCCCAAGUGGUAAUCGUUAUUAUUGAGCCUAAAGCGUCCGUAGCCGGUUUGGUAAACCCCCGGGUAAAUCGGGCAGCUUAACUGUCCGAACACCGGGGGGACUGCCAGACUUGGGACCGGGAGAGGUCGGAGGUACUUCAGGGGUAGGGGCUAAAUCCUGUAAUCCUUGAAGGACCACCAGUGGCGAAGGCGUCCGACUAGAACGGAUCCGACGGUAAGGGACGAAACCCUGGGGCGCAAACCGGAUUAGAUACCCGGGUAGUCCAGGGCGUAAACGCUGCAGGCUUGGUGUUGGGGACCCUACGAGGGUGCUCAGUGCCGGAGUGAAGAUGUUAAGCCUGCCGCUUGGGGAGUAUGUCCGCAAGGAUGAAACUUAAAGGAAUUGGCGGGAGAGCACAGCAACGGGAGGAGCGUGCGGUUCAAUUGGAUUCAACGG